AGGGGUGUAGCUCAGUUGGUAGAGCGGCGGUCUCCAAAACCGCAGGUCGUCGGUUCGAGCCCGGCCGCCCCUG
RNAcentral lists this transfer RNA (73 nucleotides) under Neorhizobium sp. JUb45. RNAcentral's name for it is "tRNA-Trp". It matches the Rfam family "tRNA". Rfam says of the family: Transfer RNA (tRNA) molecules are approximately 80 nucleotides in length. Their secondary structure includes four short double-helical elements and three loops (D, anti-codon, and T loops). The record is from RNAcentral. Lineage: Bacteria; Pseudomonadati; Pseudomonadota; Alphaproteobacteria; Hyphomicrobiales; Rhizobiaceae. RNAcentral also lists the same sequence under 1 other name.